AUAGCAGCUUGUGUUUUGAUUCACUCACCAUAGUUGUCUCAGCAAUGGAACCAAAGCUGUUGAUGAAAAUGUUGCAGCUCACAUUCACCGGGGGACCUGCCAAUCAAAAGAGAUACCUGCUUUAGCUCCAUAGCCAUGAAGAAACCCACAGGACAGGACCCGUGCCUGAAACACUGACCUCAGGGAUGGACACCCCUUGGCUGUGCCCCUGAUCCUAGGAACCAUUGUCCGACACAGAGUCUUGGAGGAGAUGCAGACUAUCAGAACCGGAGGGGCCUCGGCUGCUGGAUCAUUUCGCAGAUGUGGAAACAGAGGCCUGGUGACCAGGGACAGUGGAUGGGACUUUCAAAGACGGAGAUGGCUGCCUAAUGCAUGCGAGGAAGGACUAUUUUGACCAUUCGAUCUACCCAGUAAGAGAAGAGGCUGCC
This is a long non-coding RNA of Myotis myotis, 428 nucleotides long. RefSeq lists it as uncharacterized. The transcript has 3 exons. Lineage: Eukaryota; Metazoa; Chordata; Mammalia; Chiroptera; Vespertilionidae. The record is from RefSeq and is a predicted model, not a curated record.